Non-coding RNA from Pelobates fuscus (common spadefoot toad), 446 nucleotides. Lineage: Eukaryota; Metazoa; Chordata; Amphibia; Anura; Pelobatidae. The record is from the annotation of a RefSeq genome assembly.
UCAAGAUGAAGCUGUGUUUAAGUUUAUUGCUGUGCGUGUGUGUAUUAGGUUUCUCCUAUUCAGAUAAGGUUACACAGACACCCGCUGAAUUAUCAGUCAUGGAGGGAGGUCCGGCUACAUUUGACUGUGAAUAUGAAACAACCACCAGCAACGCUGAUCUGUUCUGGUAUAUUCAACACGCUGGGAAGCCCCUUAACUAUAUCUUACAGAGAGCAUCAUACACCAAUAAAGAGACAGAAUCUGAUAGCAAGUAUGCAUCCAAACUGGAUAAAGAGGCCAAAUCUACCUACCUGAAGAUUUCUGAUGUCACAGUGUCUGACUCUGGGGUGUAUUAUUGUGCUCUGAGUGCCACAGUGUCUGUGACUGCAGACUGCACUGUACAAGAAGCUCUGACUCUGUCCAAGGUGCUGACACAUGUCUUUAUAUAUAUACCCAGUUCACACUGA